Molecule: transfer RNA, 364 nt
Filed under: uncultured Microcystis sp.
Lineage: Bacteria; Bacillati; Cyanobacteriota; Cyanophyceae; Chroococcales; Microcystaceae
Description: partial 16S-23S ribosomal RNA intergenic spacer
Rfam family: tRNA (bases 136-209)
Source: RNAcentral
AAAGGGAGACCUAAUUCAGGUAGGAGACGAAAAAAAAGUAGUCGCUACCAAGAAUCAAUCCCAAAAGGUCGGAGCGAGGCGAAAUUGGCUUUCAAACUAGGUUCUGGGUUCAAACAAGACCUGAAUCAGGAACAAGGGCUAUUAGCUCAGGUGGUUAGAGCGCACCCCUGAUAAGGGUGAGGUCCCUGGUUCGAGUCCAGGAUGGCCCACCUGUACAGGUGGCAAAAGAAAGAAAAGAAGCGAGGAAUCAGCACCUUAUCUUAUUUAUAUAGUAAGAGAGAAUGCUGGCUCUGAGUUCAGAGUCCAGAGGAACCUUGAAAACUGCAUAGAGCUAGGUGAAAAAGCCAAAGAAGAAGACCGCAAG